AGGUAGUGACGAAAAAUAACGAUACGGGACUCAUCCGAGGCCCCGUAAUCGGAAUGAGUACACUUUAAAUCCUUUAACGAGGAUCAAUUGGAGGGCAAGUCUGGUGCCAGCAGCCGCGGUAAUUCCAGCUCCAAUAGCGUAUAUUAAAGUUGUUGCGGUUAAAAAGCUCGUAGUUGAAUCUGUGUGCCACGCUGUUGGUUCACCGCUCGCGGUGUAACUGAUUGGCCAGUGGUACGUCCUACCGGUGGACUUAGCUCUCUCCGCUCGCGCGGGCGAGGGCGGUCCAGCUUCAAUCCCAAGGCGAUUCUCUUCACCGAGUGUCGUCGUGGGCCGGUACGUUUACUUUGAACAAAUUAGAGUGCUCAAAGCAGGCUAUUUUCGCCUGAAUACUGUGUGCAUGGAAUAAUGGAAUAGGACCUCGGUUCUAUUUUGUUGGUUUUCGGAACCCCGAGGUAAUGAUUAAUAGGGACAGAUGGGGGCAUUAGUAUUGCGACGUUAGAGGUGAAAUUCUUGGAUCGUCGCAAGACUGACCGAAGCGAAAGCAUUUGCCAAAAAUGUUUUCAUUAAUCAAGAACGAAAGUUAGAGGUUCGAAGGCGAUCAGAUACCGCCCUAGUUCUAACCAUAAACGAUGCCAGCUAGCGAUCCGCCGAAGUUCCUCCGAUGACUCGGCGGGCAGCU
RNAcentral lists this ribosomal RNA (679 nucleotides) under Fidiobia sp. M331. RNAcentral describes it as "SSU rRNA". It matches the Rfam family "Eukaryotic small subunit ribosomal RNA", at positions 462 to 1088 of the family's 1831-position model. Lineage: Eukaryota; Metazoa; Arthropoda; Insecta; Hymenoptera; Platygastridae. The record is from RNAcentral.